AUGAACGAGUAUGAUAGAAGAGGUUCUAAAAACAAAAGUGUAUACGCCAGCCGAGUCCGACUCCGACCCGAGGUGGCUCCUGGGUUGUUCGCCUGGACAUAUAUACGCCAGCCCCCGCCGCCUCAACCUCCUCCUGUUUUCCUUCAGACCCAACGAGAGAGAGACAGAGAAAUCCCCAAUACACCAAGAGCCGCCUCGGGUCGUUCACCGUCAGGGCCAGCCAGGGCGGAGCCGGAGGCUGCGAUCUUCAAGGCCAAGUCCAUGGCGGACAACGAGGAGGUGUCGUCCCUCAAGGCCAAGACCAAGGCCAAGGCCAAGUCCAAGGCGGACAAGGAGGAGGUGAUCCGCAAGGCGAAGGCGAAGGCGGAGGCGGAGGCGGAGAUCCGCAAGGCCAAGGCGGAGGCGGCCAAGGAGGCGGGGGUCAUCAAGGCCUGCUGCUGCGGCUCGGACGACGACGAUGUGCCGUACGACAAGGUGUACCACGACUCGGACGCGGAGGAAGACAAUGACACAAUCAUGGCCAGGAUUGUGGCGCGGUGGGAUAUCUUUAUGGAGGAGGAGAAGGCUCGCUUCCCUGACCAGACGUACCGGGUCUACCUCCCCGGGGAACGCACCGGCGACGAGUCGUCCGACUCGGAUGACGAGCACGAGUACUACCUCCGCAAGUUUGGGAUGAAGUAG
This 681-nucleotide ribosomal RNA is filed under the name Triticum aestivum (bread wheat). RNAcentral's name for it is "partial small subunit ribosomal RNA". Lineage: Eukaryota; Viridiplantae; Streptophyta; Magnoliopsida; Poales; Poaceae. The record is from RNAcentral.